GGAGAAGUGGAGAAACCAAACCACAGCAAGGUGCUGCCAGAGGCAUGGAAUAACAGAGCUGCAAAUAGAUCAUCUUUAUGUAUUAAUCUCAGAUUUUGUGAGUGAGAAUGUUAGAUACCAGAUGAUAUCCAGAUGUAAGCAGAUGAUAUUGUUCUGGCAUGAACUGUACGCCUUGAUUGAACAGUGGAAAGACGUGUUUUUGUAACAGCAAAUAAAUUGCAUACAGCAGGCUGUAUGCAAUUCUGUUCUACCUUGUAAUGUUAUUUUCACUUAAAUUGAGCAUCAUUAUGAAAACAUGCAUCCUUAUAAACAUAAUGCUUAUCUUUGUGCUCUCGGUUCCCAAAUUCUUGUUCAAUUUGGGACAAACUAAAGAUCCAAAGUCAUCUUGUUUCCCUGACCUGUUAGCUGCUGCUGUGCAAAGCUCACCUUUACUGAAGGUCUUCAUUUUCUUUAGACAAAGCAGUUUGCAUUUGGUAUGUGUAACAUGAUAGAGUAUCAUAGGAACCAGAUAACAUGUUCCAGAGUAUGAGUGCAGCUUUUGUUUUGAAAGGUUCAAAAGGGCUUUGCAUAAAGGUGAUCUGCAAAGGGAAAAACUUCUUUUAUGGAAGAAGGAUAAGUUGAACUGUUGUAAGGUCAAAUAAUAUAGCUAAGCAUUUAGAUAGAUAUAUAAAGAAACAUUGUAAGAGCACUUUGCAACCAAGGAUAACCUCUGGCUUAUGCAGCUUGCACCAUGACCAUGCAGAACUUGUUUAAUGGUUGGAGUACAAGAGAAGCUCGUUGUGUAGACAGAGCUGUAUGGAAAUGUUCUAAGCAAACAUGGGGAGAGGGAGCUUUUGCCUUGCACAGGAGCACACUCAAAGCAGUAGCUUAGAGUAAAAUUUACAGUGUUGUGAAUAGCUCAGUAGCAUUAUGCAAUAGUACUGGGAAAAGCAUAAGCAAAUCCUGAGUUUCCCGGUGCUGAAGUAGCAGAAUGCACUUCAUUGGGCAUAAACAUACGAGGAGGAUUAAUUCAAAACAAGAUUGUCUAAGUGGUGCUUAUCACUGUAUAUCCAAAAUACUGUUAUAGGAAGUUACCAAACUGAAGGCAGUCUCGCCUCAGUAAUCAGUGCUCCACUGGACUGAAAUCCAUAAUCUGUAAUCAUAUCGGUGCUGCAGUUCUUCUCAUGCCUUAUCAUUGAUACCUGUGCUGCUGUGGAGUACAUUUUAGGCAGUUUAAGUGGCUUCUGACAGUUAAUGAUUGGCUUAUGCUCUGAAAGCAAUAUAGCUUGAUUAUUUACAUCUCAUACAAAAUAAUGAGGGCUGUAAUAAAAUGUUUCUGCUAGUCUCUUAAUUAUCUUGAUGUAAUCCAUUCCAGCUCCAGCCAUGCUCAUUUAUGAGGAUCCAUCGCGCAGAAGUCUGUCUAUGGAACUUUCCUAUAAAGCCUGUGGCAUUCCAGUUUGACUGUGGAAGCAAGUUUUCUUUUACAGAAACUGAUACUGGUGUGACGAAGGAGGACAGGUAGCUCUAGAGACUUCAGAGGUUGCAGAAUACAGCAGCUUUUCCCAGAAGUGUAUCAGAGUCUUGCUUCCAGUAAUGUCUGAACACUGUGGUUACGGAGAAAGGAUGAUCCGUUCCUGGGUCCUCUUGCCUGCAGUGCUGUGUGCCACCAAAGCAGUAGAUGAACUCUCGCUAUCGACUGGAAGCAAGGUUGUGUGUGAAGAUCACUGUGUGCUGCUUACUUUGUUAUAAGUCCCAACGUUUGGAAGUGAGGGAAGUGGACAGAGAAGUGGGGAACGCAGUGCUUUCUGUCUCUGUUCAGAAAGAAUGGUUUUCAUAAGGGGUUUGAAGCUGUACAUGUACGGUGAUAAAGAGCAGAACCAACAUGGCAUGAACACACAAGCUUAGAGCCAAUGUGAAAUAUGCCCCAGGCUUGGUCUUAAAUCAUAGUUUACGUCUUGUCACAGACAUCUGUAUAUUAUUACUUAUUUUCAAGUAGAUUACUUUUCUUUUUAGAAGUCCAAGUAAUGCCUAAACAAAAGGUUAUUGCAAGCAGCUUUGGGUUUAAUUCGUGAGGUGCUGCAAUAAGGAAACUAUUUGAGGAUAGAGGUAUUAGCUAUUUGGUUAUUUGAGAAUAACUGCUAGCCAUUACACAGAGACAUAUCAUGCUUGCUACUAUGGUAUCUUACAAAUAUUUACUAAACAACAUCUUGCUUAAAUCCUAUUCCUUGUUAUUCUUCCAGUUCCAUUUGGCUGUAUGAGAACUGCCAAACAGAGCGACCUGAUGAUGGCUGUAAGCUGGGGAAGCUGUUCCUCAGGAGUGGUGGUGCCUUAUUGCCCCGUUCUUAGUCUCAGCAAGGAGUUAGGUAUCUCUUCUUACCGGGCUGCUCAUUAGCAGGUCUGUGUGCCUUACAGAAGGAAUUGGUAUCACACUGUCAUUUUGCUGCAGAGGGAGAAACUGAGGCAUAAUGGAGCAGAAAAAAACAUUGUGGUUGGUGCGUAGCAGUAAUAGUAGUGCCAGGCUGGAGAUUAAGCCAGCUCUGCUGAGAUUUUAUCCAAUACUUUCCAGUGGGUCAUAAAUGCAUAAAGUAAUCAGGCAAGGACUUUGUCAGAGCACAUCUGCUCCAGUGUUUCUGGUAAAAGUACAUCCGUUAUCCCAAUUAAAUCAUAUGGUCCGGCACUGAUGAUGUGUGAAGGUAAAGCCAUCAGUGGCCUGGCUGUGUCUUUCAGACAGACCAAGAAGAAUGUUGGGCAAGCUAAAUCCAUUUAAUUUCUGGUGCUGCCAAUGCUGGAUAUGGGUGUACGUGGAAGUGGAGCCUCAGGGAUUUCACUGGGGGCUCCAUGUGGACAAAAUGAUCUCUUUCACUCAAGGAAGCUUAUAAUAUCAAAACCACUGUAAGAAAAUGGUCUCUGUACAAAGCUUACCGAGAUGAAGGUUUUCCAAUGGCAUGUCAGUUAAAAUUCCCAAGAAGUGGUUUACCUGAGAUUAAUAAUGCAUUUGGAGGAGGUCUGUGAGAUAGCCUGCUGCUCCUGUCAAGUCUCCUGCCAGUCUCAGAAGGGAGGAGGUAAGUUGUAUUUUCCUCUUGCUGUUCUGCUUGCAUAAAAGUGACCUGGGAAAAUAAGAGUAAAAUAGUUCCUUCAAGCAGAUGAGGCAAGGAGAAAUUGGUUGACUGGGUCUAACUGCAAAAAGGAAAUGCAAACCCCUCAAUUCACCCUCAUGCUAAGGUGUUGUGGUUUUUUUUUGAAGAAUAAAAGGAGGUAGCAGAAUUCAUGCAAGGCUUUAUACGUUUGUUUUCUAUAACAGUGCUUUGUUUCCUUUUGGUCCUUCAAGUCCUUUUUCAGUACUGGAAAUAAGCAACCACAUAGAGCAGGAUUUUUCCCUGCUGCUGUGCAUGUGUAUGAACAGCUUCCAAAGGAGGCUUUUGUGGGGCAUCAGAUGGGUUUACCUUGGGCUCAAUGAGUCCUUCAGUUAGGUUUUAAUAUAUUAUUUUCCCUGUCAUUUCUGCUUAGAUAGUGACAUUGAAUGCUCUGAUGAUAUCAACCAACUAUGUGUUCCUUCACUGUCAAGUAUUUGGGAUGGAAAUUUAGCAGGCAGUUAGAUUAAAAUAAAAAUAUCCUGCUGGCAAGGAAAUAAAUUGAAUUAAGUCGGUGCUGCUCUGAAUGUUGGUAACUGUGGAUGAGUUUUCAUGGUUCAUUCUGAAGAGCUACCGAGGCACCCAACAGCUCAUAUAUUAAGGCUAAAUUACUGUUGUUAAAUUUAUUUCCCAAUUCUCUUUGGUAUUUAAAAAAUGCAUUAUCCCCACAUUGCAAAACUUGAAGAAGCUCUUUAUCCAUACCUCGGAACACAAGAAAUGGAAAAGCAGCAUCUAAAGCAAGAGAAGAUUGUCACAUGAACAACUGCACGUAAACCGGCGGUGAAUAAAAGAUGUUCCGUGCCAUCAGGGAGAGGGAAAUCUCCUCUUAGAGCUUCACAAGGGAAGUGUAGGGACCAAAGCCCUCGGGCUUUCUGUGGGGCUGAAUCAGAUCAUGAAAGAAGCUAUAAGUAGGUGAGCAGUCCCAAGGGGUGGCACUAAGCCACGUAGGAAGUCUCUUCUGUGCGGUAGUCUUUGAGGAACAGUCUCAGAGAUUGUUAAAUAUUGAAGGAAAUAUGAACUUCAAAAAGUGGGUUUUAAUUUAAAUAUCAUAAUAGUUGUCGUGUGUAAGAAGUAGAAAGCAUUGAGUUCAACUGUGCCGAAGGGAGGGCGAUGCCUGGCUACAACUCAUACUGAGCUCUGCCCCUUUCUGGGAGCUCGUAGGGCAGCCCAGAUCUUUCUUAGGGUAUGCCUUCUAUUGGAACACGAGUUCUUAGGGUGUGACUUUUCAAGCUGAGAUGUCUGCACAUGAAAGAAUUUGAGCUUUCAAAGAACUCCGGGCCUUUGCUUACCUCCUCUUGAAUUGUAGGGAUCUGAACUACUCGGAAAAGACGAAUUUACGCCGCUUUUCCAAAGGUGGGAUCUGGUUCCUUUGUUUGUACUGAAAGAUUGAUCAGAGCAGGUAAACAGACAUUUGGUGCGUAGCUGAUUAUGAGCUAUGGAAAAAUGGACAUCUUUUUUAGUUGUUCCUAAAAGAUCAGGCUUAGGAUUCAAAGCCGUAACGCAUUUAUUGUGGUAACGCAAACUGAAGUCAUGUGAAUCGAGAACCAUAAGGGUUCCAUUAGCACACAUGGAAAGUCGAGUUGGGUCUGUAAUAGCACUGACAGUAAGUCCCAUUCAGGAGCAUUACUUCUUAAAAAUUAAACAAACCUCUCAAGUGGCUUAACGUGUAGCUGACAGUGCCAGCACGCUUCAAUUUCCAUUCAACCUGAAGUUGCCACACUCUCCAUUCUAAAUGGAAAUAGUGUUCUGCUGAUGUCACUGGCAAGCCUCCUUUUCUCCCAGCAAAAAUGUUUGUGUUACAGUGACUUCUUGAUCCCUGAGAAUACGUUUGUCUUGGUGAUCUGCUUCAGAUGCAAAUUGCUAUACCAGUCAGCUUGUGGGAAGAUAAAACCUUUCUUUAUUUUUAGUUCUGUCCAUUUAAAUCCAACGUGCAGUGCUAGAUGUUGGAAUCAGCGUGGAUUCUUUCUGCUCGGAAGCCUCUGGGAAGAGAUGUCUCACCCCAGUGCUCAAAGGCUGCUUCUAAUUCUGUUGUUUUUUUAAUGUUUUCUUUAAGUGAUACCUAUGGAACGUGUUAGCCACCAAUUUGGGAAAUCUCCCUUGUAUCUCAGUCUUCUGUUUCUCUUGUUUCCUCCCCUGGCCUCAAAGCAGCAGCACAGCUGUGCCAGGAUACCCAGGACUGCUUUUCUGCGCCUCGUCCUUUCAGCCCCAUUGGAUGCUCAGCAGGAGCCGCUCAGUUCACACACGCAGUGCGUUCUGCCUUCCAAGAGCUUUCCAUCAGGCGAGAGGCUCUCUUCUUUUUGCCUGUUUCAAAUGUACCGUUCUACGUGUCCUACAAGAAGUCUUCACGCACCUCUCCAGGUAUUCAGGGAGAAGAAGUCCAUUUUUCUGUUGCCAUCAGACUCAGUGCUUCGUGCAGUGGUCCAUGAUGGGACCACUCAGGAAAAUACUCUUAGCUGUGGUUUCCAGCACAAGAAAUGUUGCAAAUCUGAGCUUAAAAAAAUCAAGUUUGGCUGCUGCACAACACUUUCUCAGUUGAUUCCUUAUUAUUUAACACUUCUCUGAAGUUCAAGUCUUUUUUUUUUUUUUUUUUUGUCUCCCCCCUUCAAUACAGCCUUCAUCCAAAAGACACUGCCAAAUGCUUUACAAGUAGUACAGAGAAAGAGAAAUUGUUUCUGGCACCUAUUGCAGUAGUCAGCAUUGAGCAUCCCGCUUACCCAGCUCACAAAGCACAGAGCCUUAUUUUGUUAGGAUGUACAAAUGCUUCUGCUAUCAAACAAGCAAAAGGACAGCCAGCCCACCUAACCUGCUACCAGCUAGCCACCAAGUUUAGGAGAAUGAGCAAUGCCUCCACUGGGGACUUCCCUGGCAGAUCCACGUCUGAACAGCCAGGGCUGGCUUCCAAGAACAUUAAAUUCCAGCUGCUUUUCCAUCCAAGGCAAGAUAGGUUAUGCAUAUUUGGUGCCUGGCUUAACGCUGCAAGGGACAUAAUUUUCAGUGGUAUAAUGGACCGCUUGAGCCUCUCUUGUCAACUGGGAGUUUGAGUAUGCAGCGCGUUUGGAAAUGCAGCCCAUCCUUACCCAGCAACUAGCAAGGGAGAAAUCCAGACCUGCCAGUCGCUAUUUCAGCCUGUGACUUCUGCUCGCCUUUGUCCCAUCCGAGCGCGGUAAGGCAGAGCUUGUGUGCUCUUCUGGAGUUGGCUCCGCGUCUGCAGCUGCACGUUGAAAGGUACCGCAGUGUUUUCAGAAACCCAAAAGGUAGCCAGUCUCCAGCUGGUAAAAUUGUCAUCGUUCAUCAACUGAUUGAACUGUGGAAAUUUACCCAAGUAGAGGAUCAGGUCCAGUGUACACAGCUGGGAACCGAGCUGAGCUCAGUAGCUAUCUGUGCUCAGUGCUAAGCACCGGCCAACUGGGUUGCGCACGACUUUCUGCUAGGUAGCAGUGUGUCGAUCAAUGUCCUCUUGUUCGCUUGGAUCCAUGUUGUCUCCCAUUGCUCUGUCCCUUCUCUGUUCUCCUUUUCCUUCUAACUAAGCAACGUCUUACGGGCAGCGAGAGGGCGAGCCACAAUAGAUGAAAACAGAUCUGUUUUUGUGAUGUUUCUGGGGAAAACGUUCCUGCCCUUACACUUGAACUUCUCUAAGAGUGGUUAUAUUUCAUUACGCAUCUUAUCCUUGUUUGUGAAACAAGCAUGAGCUGUGCUUGCUAUGAGUUCAGUAGAGAAAAGAAAUGGAUAUUUGGGGAAGAUUGUUCCUCACUUGACAGCAUUAUUGUAAGCAAGGAAAUUUAAAGGAGGUUUUGCUUAGGCCCUCUAUUUUUCUCUGACUUUGUGUUCGUAUUUUUUUCCUGAAGUUUGUCUCAAGGUCUGCAUGAAGACCCAAACCUCUAAAAUGCUUUAAAGUCGAUCUCUCUCUGCCCGCGUGUAUUCAGCUAGCGUGGUAAAAUGUUUUGUUUCUCUUUUUUCUUUCCAGAGUCUAUGAGAUCAUUCAAGUACGGAGACUUGGCAGCCUCCAUGUACGUACAAAGACGGCUGUUUGAAUUUCAGACUAAGUGUCGUUCUGGCUAAGGAUGAAUUAUUUGGUGUGUUACAUGAGGAUUUGCUGCUUUAUCUGGCCUGAAUAAGCAGGAGCAAUGGUUGUGGUCAUCAUCAGUUCAGAAGGCAGGUUCAUUUUAUAGACAUGAGUCUUGAAGUCUGUUACAAAGAGAUCCACUGCCUGAAGUGUGCUGAGGUGCCAGGGUCAUGUGUGCCAUCUGCAUCAUCUGUGCAAAGGAGCUCCACCAGUGCAGACCUCCCUCACGAAAGCCACGGUGAUGUCACGUCCAGCAGCACAGGAGGGGAUCAGAGCGUGCUCCUACCCAUUCAGCACAGCCCCGAGAUUACUUUUAACCAAGGUCACUUCUGCAGUUCACUUGACAACAGCCUGGGCAGCGGCACACUACUGGCACAGCCUGCGGACUGCUAUAGGGAUGGGAGGACAAACAGUGACAAUUGUCUCCCGGAUUUACUGCGUCGAAGCUGUGCCGCGGCCACCUUCUGAUCAGAAGUGGGUAGAUAAAUCUGCUCCGUGUUCUGCAGUGACUGCCUGCUGCCCUGAAGGAAGCGUGUCAUGUCUGCAAGGAAGCGUUUCAACCUGCAGCCGUGGAGUACGAACAGCAUCAAUCACUCCUUUCCAACAAAGGUUGGGUUGUGCUGAGCCCUAAUCUUUUAAAUAAGACCUACUGUAACAUGCACAGAAUGUUUCCCAUGUUGGAUUCUACCUUACAAGCACUGAUUACGCCCACUGAUGCUUCAUGAGACAACCAAGCCAGAUUUGUGCCUCGAUUUGAAAAUACUCUGACACAAUAAAAGAAGACUUCUUAAUCUUUCAUUCCUUUGCUGCAAAGCUGGAAAGCAC
Molecule: long non-coding RNA, 7998 nt
Organism: Gallus gallus (chicken)
Lineage: Eukaryota; Metazoa; Chordata; Aves; Galliformes; Phasianidae
Source: Ensembl